This 253-nucleotide ribosomal RNA is filed under the name uncultured bacterium. RNAcentral describes it as "partial 16S ribosomal RNA". It matches the Rfam family "Bacterial small subunit ribosomal RNA", at positions 524 to 776 of the family's 1533-position model. The record is from RNAcentral.
UACGAAGGGUGCAAGCGUUACUCGGAAUUACUGGGCGUAAAGCGUGCGUAGGUGGUUCGUUAAGUCUGAUGUGAAAGCCCGGGGCUCACCCCCGGAAGGGCAUUGGAAACUGGCGGACUCGAGUCCCGGAGAGGAAGGUGGAAUUCCUGGUGUAGCGGUGAAAUGCGUAGAUAUCAGGAAGAACACCCGUGGCGAAGGCGGCUCUCUGGGACGGUACUGACGCUGAGACGCGAAAGCGUGGGGAGCAAACAGG